Sciurus carolinensis (gray squirrel) is the source of this 84-nucleotide small nucleolar RNA. NCBI's taxonomy places the organism in Eukaryota, Metazoa, Chordata, Mammalia, Rodentia, Sciuridae. The record is from RefSeq and is a predicted model, not a curated record.
UCAGGAAUAAGGGAUUCCCCUGGCUCCUCGUGACCCUUCCCUGCAGCCUCAAUAGCAGAAAAGUGAAGAGGACAGUGAAACUGA